CCGGGAUUGCGAAACUGGCAGUCGCACAGAACUAAAAAGACUGGGAAAGUAAACAUUCGAACCGGUUCGAUUCCGGUCCUCGGCA
Molecule: transfer RNA, 85 nt
Filed under: Streptococcus thermophilus
Lineage: Bacteria; Bacillati; Bacillota; Bacilli; Lactobacillales; Streptococcaceae
Description: tRNA-OTHER
Source: RNAcentral